RNAcentral lists this ribosomal RNA (844 nucleotides) under Cercospora cf. flagellaris ZJUM 121. RNAcentral's name for it is "eukaryotic LSU rRNA". It matches the Rfam family "Eukaryotic large subunit ribosomal RNA", at positions 62 to 935 of the family's 3401-position model. The record is from RNAcentral. Lineage: Eukaryota; Fungi; Ascomycota; Dothideomycetes; Mycosphaerellales; Mycosphaerellaceae.
AAACCAACAGGGAUUGCCCUAGUAACGGCGAGUGAAGCGGCAACAGCUCAAAUUUGAAAUCUGGCGCAAGCCCGAGUUGUAAUUUGUAGAGGAUGCUUCUGGGUAGCGACCGAUCUAAGUUCCUUGGAACAGGACGUCAUAGAGGGUGAGAAUCCCGUAUGUGACCGGCCCGCACCCUUUACGUAGCUCCUUCGACGAGUCGAGUUGUUUGGGAAUGCAGCUCUAAAUGGGAGGUAAAUUUCUUCUAAAGCUAAAUACCGGCCAGAGACCGAUAGCGCACAAGUAGAGUGAUCGAAAGAUGAAAAGUACUUUGGAAAGAGAGUUAAAAAGCACGUGAAAUUGUUGAAAGGGAAGCGCCUGCAACCAGACUUCGCGGCAGUGUUCCGCCGGUCUUCUGACCGGUUCAUUCUCUGUCGCGAGGCCAUCAUCGUCUGGGCCCGCCGGAUAAGACCUGAGGAAUGUGGCUCCCCCUCGGGGGAGUGUUAUAGCCUCUGGUGAUGCGGCGUGGCUCGGGCGAGGUCCGCGCUUCGGCAAGGAUGAUGGCGUAAUGGUUGUCGGCGGCCCGUCUUGAAACACGGACCAAGGAGUCUAACAUCUAUGCGAGUGUUCGGGUGUCAAACCCCUACGCGUAAUGAAAGUGAACGGAGGUGGGAACCGCAAGGUGCACCAUCGACCGAUCCUGAUGUCCUCGGAUGGAUUUGAGUAAGAGCAUAGCUGUUGGGACCCGAAAGAUGGUGAACUAUGCCUGAAUAGGGUGAAGCCAGAGGAAACUCUGGUGGAGGCUCGCAGCGGUUCUGACGUGCAAAUCGAUCGUCAAAUUUGGGUAUAGGGGCGAAAGACUAAU